UGGGGUGUAGCUCAGUGGUAGAGUACUUGCCUACCAGGCAAAAGGCCCUGGGUUCAAUACCCCACACCAUGC
Molecule: transfer RNA, 72 nt
Filed under: Marmota monax (woodchuck)
Lineage: Eukaryota; Metazoa; Chordata; Mammalia; Rodentia; Sciuridae
Description: tRNA.Gly
Rfam family: tRNA
About the family: Transfer RNA (tRNA) molecules are approximately 80 nucleotides in length. Their secondary structure includes four short double-helical elements and three loops (D, anti-codon, and T loops).
Source: RNAcentral